Non-coding RNA from Kogia breviceps (pygmy sperm whale), 1319 nucleotides. The record is from RefSeq and is a predicted model, not a curated record. Lineage: Eukaryota; Metazoa; Chordata; Mammalia; Artiodactyla; Physeteridae.
CAGAUCCGCCAUCUUGUAACCCGAUUCUCUCUGCCUUUCUCUUCCUCCUCCAGCAAGCUAGCACGGGCUGUCCUAGCAGGGGCUACGGCGGCCGACGAGUCCAAUAUGAGGCGCCUCCGUUUCUGCACGCACGGUGCUCUCGCGAGGCGGGGUACUGGACUGAGGUGGGUGGGUCUAAGUGCGACUUCCUCCUAUCUCGGCCCCGCCUACUGCCGUAGGAUCUCGGUUGGGUGGGCGGGCCUUGCGAGCUCCUUGUCUCCGCUGGUGCCGCGAGAGUCCUCUCUGGGCAGGCGGCGGGCGCGGAGUCACGGAUUCGGCUUCGUGUGGAUUGCUGGCUUCACCCGGCGUGUGACGAGCCGUGGGAUCCAGCUCUGUGGAAAACACAAAGCAAGCCUGGGAGAGUGGUGAACAGAUGGAUGAGGGACAAAAUCAUUUCCGUUUCUCAAUCUUGAGAACUGCCCAGGGUGACUCUACUUCUCGCCCUCCUUCAGUAACCUCAAAUCUGUGUGAGAACGGCCAAAGCAGAAGGAGCUGUGUUCUAGGCCCUCAGUCCUUGUGGAAGCAGUGAUCCAAGCCCUUGUGAAGAACGUGGGGCUGGGUUUGAGGAAGUAAUUGUAAACAAAGCCUGGAAGGCCAGUGUUCCUUCCUGCUAAGCCAGCAACCAUUGUUUCUGGACCUAAUACAACCACUUAGAUUGAACUUGAACUUGAAUGCCUCAACUGUAAGGGAGAAAGUAAAUGAUAUGUACUGAAAACUCCAUGGUUACUUUUGGAAUGGUCUACUAGAUUUGACCAUUGCUGGAGGGUAUGCAGUGGAUGAUUUGCAGUUACAUCUGCUAAGGUCAGCACUGAUGGUCCCGUCCCAUAGGCUGCAUGUAGGUCACCAAGAUGUUGAAGCCCCCAAUUAAUGGGACUGGUGGGCUCUUACUACUAUUGAACAAGCACUCAUAUGGAAGAUUCUUGUAACCCCCUCCCAAAUUUUAGACUGAACCUUCAGCUUUAAUGUCCAUUUUUGCUUAGGAAGCUUAAAUAUGGCUUGGCUAAGAUUACCUAUCAUAUUUCCAAGAUUCCUAUGGCUUUUUUGAGUUUGCUUUUAAUUUUUUAAAAAGGAACUUUUAACCUGAUAUGAAACUCAUUGUAAAAAAAUUAAAUUGCAGAUAUAGGAAGGUACAGAGAGGAGAAUACAGUGUUCUUUUAAUCCUAUCCCAGAAAUAACUAUAGUUAAUAUUUGGUGUCCCUCUUCUUUCCAUACAUAUAUUUAUGUAAUUGAGAUAGCACCUCUUACAUUGUCCACUUAAUACUGUAUCACAAAUAUUCCCC